UGGAAGGCUCUAGGGGAAUAAAGAUGGAAUGACUUCUAAUUUUUAGGUCCGUAUGAUUUGAAAUACUUUCACACAAACCGCGCGAAAGCGUUCCUGGAAAUCUCAGCCCCAAAAAGGACGUUUAGUAAUUCUAGAAGGGACUAUAGGAUGAAAAACAAUAGUUUUGGUAGUUAAAGUUUGAGAUUCGAUGGUGCCGUGGAUCCGUUUGGUCAUCAGGUGUUACGAGCCACACCCAUGUCUAGCUAGAAUAGUAUGUUAGGCUCAGGUUAGAGAAGAAACGGGGAACAAACUGAUGAAAAAAUGAUCAUACCAAGGGAAUUCACUCAGAACUAACAAGAAUGAUAACGUGCUCCGACUGGAGCGGUUUAGGAACUGCUGGAAGGCUCUAGGGGAAUAAAGAUGGAAUGACUUCUAAUUUUUACGUCCGUAUGAUUUGAAAUACUUGCACACAAACCACGCAAAAGCGUUCCUGGAAAUCUCAGCCUAAAAAAGGACGUUUAGUAAUUCUAAAAGGGACUACAGGAUGAAAAAUAAUAGUUUGGGCAGUUAAAAUUUGAGAUUCAACGGUGCCGUAGAUCCGUUUGGUCAUGAGGUGUUACGAGCCACACCCAUGUCUAGCUAGAAUAGUGUGUUAGGCUCAGGCUAGAGAAGAAACGGGGAACAAAUUGAUGAAAGAAUGAUCAUACCGAGGGAAUUCACUCAGAACUAACAAGAAUGAUAACGUGCUCCGACUGGAGCAGUUUGGAAACUGUUGGUAGGCUCUAGGGGAAUAAAGAUGGAAUCACUUCAAAUUUUUAGGUCCGUAUGAUUUGAAAUACUGGCACACAAACCGCGCGAAAGUGUUCCUGGAAAUCUCAGCCCAAAAAAGGACGUUUAGUAAUUCUAAAAGGGACUACAGGAUGAAAAACAAUACUUUUGGCAGUUAAAGUUUGAGAUUCGACGGUGCCGUAGAUCUGUUUGGUCAUCAGGUGUAACGAGCCACACCCAUGUCUAGCUAGAGUAGUGUGCUAGGCUCAGACUAGAGAAGAAACGGGGAACAAAGUGAUGAAAGAAUGAUCAUACCGAGGGAAUUCACUCAGAACUAACAAGAAUGAUAACGUGCUCCGACUGGAGCGGUUUAGGAACUGCUGGAAGGCUCUAGGGAAAUAAAGAUGGAAUGACUUCUAAUUUUUAGGUCCAUAUCAUUUGAAAUACGUGCACACAAACCCCGAGAAAGCGUUCCUGGAAAUCUCGGCCGAAAAAAGGAUGUUUAAUAAUUCUAAAAGGGACUACAGGAUGAAAAACAAUAGUUUUGGCAGUUAAAGUUUGAGAUUUGACGGUGCCGUAGAUCUGUUUGGUCAUCAGGGGUUACGAGCCACACCCAUGUCUAGCUAGAAUAGUGUGUUAGGCUCAGGCUAGAGAAGAAACGGGGAACAAAUUGAUGAAAGAAUGAUCAUACCGAGGGAAUUCACUCAGAACUAACAAGAAUGAUAACGUGCUCCGACUGGAGCAGUUUGGAAACUGUUGGUAGGCUCUAGGGGAAUAAAGAUGGAAUCACUUCUAAUUUUUAGGUCCGUAUGAUUUGAAAUACAUGCACACAAACCCCAAGAAAGCGUUCCUGGAAAUCUCGCCCCGAAAAACGACGUUUAGUAAUUCUAAAAGGGACUACAGGAUGAAAAACAAUACUUUUGGCAGUUAAAGUUUGAGAUUCGACGGUGCCGUAGAUCUGUUUGGUCAUCAGGUGUAACGAGCCACACCCAUGUCUAGCUAGAGUAGUGUGCUAGGCUCAGACUAGAGAAGAAACGGGGAACAAAGUGAUGAAAGAAUGAUCAUACCGAGGGAAUUCACUCAGAACUAACAAGAAUGAUAACAUGCUCCGACUGGAGCGGUUUAGGAAGUGCUGGAAGGCUCUAGGGAAAUAAAGAUGGAAUGACUUCUAAUUUUUAGGUCCAUAUCAUUUGAAAUACGUGCACACAAACCCCGAGAAAGCGUUCCUGGAAAUCUCGGCCGAAAAAAGGAUGUUUAAUAAUUCUAAAAGGGACUACAGGAUGAAAAACAAUAGUUUUGGCAGUUAAAGUUUGUGAUUCGAUGGUGCCGUAGAUCUGUUUGGUCAUCAGGUGUUACGAGCCACACCCAUGUCUAGCUAGAACAGUGUGUUAGGCUCAGGCUAGAGCAGAAACGGGGAACAAACUUAUGAAAGAAUGAUCAUACCGAGGGAAUUCACUCAGAACUAACAAGAAUGAUAACGUGCUCCAACUGGAGCGGUUUAGGAACUGCUGGAAGGCUCUAGGGGAAUAAAGAUGGAAUGACUUCAAAUUUUUAGGUCCGUAUGAUUUGAAAUACUUGCACACAAACCGCUAGAAAGCGUUCCUGGAAAUCUCAGCCCAAAAAAGGACGUUUAGUAAUUCUAAAAGGGACUACAGGAUGAAAAACAAUAGUUCUGGCAGUUAAAGUUUGAGCUUCGAUAAUGUCGUAGAUCCGUUUGGUCAUCAGGUGUAACGAGCCACACCCAUUUCUAGCUAGAGUAGUGUGCUAGGCUCAGACUAGAGAAGAAAUGGGCAACAAACUAAUGAAAGAAUGAUCAUACCGAGGGAAUUCACUCAGAACUAACAAGAAUGAUAACGUGCUCCGACUGGAGCGGUUUAGGAACUGCUGGAAGGCUCUAGGGGAAUAAAGAAGGAAUGACUUCUAAUUUUUAGGUCCGUAUGAUUUGAAAUGUGUGCACACAAACCCCGAGAAAGCAUUCCUGGAAAUCUCGGCCCAAAAAAGGACGUUUAGUAAUUCUAAAAGGGACUACAGGAUGAAAAACAAUAGUUUUGGCAGUUAAAGUUUGAGAUUCGAUAAUGCCGUAGAUCCGUUUGGUCAUCAGGUGUAACGAGCCACACCCAUGUCUGGUUAGAGUAGUGUGCUAGGCUCAGACUAGAUAAGAAACGGGGAACAAACUGAUGAAAGAAUGAUCAUACCGAGCGAAUUCACUCAGAACUAACAAGAAUGAUAACAUGCUCCGACUGGAGCGGUUUAGGAACUGCUGGAAGGCUCUAGGGGAAUAAAGAUGGAAUGACUUCUAAUUUUUAGGUCCGUAUGAUUUGAAAUACUUGCACACAAACCACGCGAAAGCGUUCCUGGAAAUCUCAGCCCAAAAAAGGACGUUUAGUAAUUCUAAAAGGGACUACAGGAUGAAAAACAAUAGUUUUGGCAGUUAAAGUUUGAGAUUCGACAGUGCCGUAGAUCCGUUUGGUCAUCAGGUAUUACGAGCCACACCCAUGUCUAGCUAGAAUAGUGUGCUAGGCUCAGGCUAGAGAAGAAACGGGGAACAAACUGAUGAAAGAAUGAUCAAACCGAGGGAAUUCACUCAGAACUAACAAUAAUGAUAACGUGCUCCGACUGGUGCGGUUUAGGAACUGCUGGAAGGCUCUAGGGGAAUAAAGAUGGAAUGACUUCUAAUUUUUAGGUCCGUAUGAUUUGAAAUACUUGCACACAAACCGCGCGAAAGCGUUCCUGGAAAUCUCAGCCCAAAAAAGGACGUUUAGUAAUUUUAAAAGGGACUAUAGGAUGAAAAACAAUAGUUUUGGCAAUUAAAGUUUGAGAUUCGACGGUGUCGUAGAUCCGUUUGGUCAUCAGGUGUUACGAGCCACACCCAUGUCUAGCUAGAAUAGUAUGUCAGGCUCAGGUUAGAGUAGAAACGGGGAACAAACUGAUGAAAGAAUGAUCAUACCAAGGGAAUUCACUCAGAACUAUCAAGAAUGAUAACGUGCUCCGACUGGAGUGAUUUAGGAACUGCUGGAAGGCUCUAGGGGAAUAAAGAUGGAAUGACUUCUAAUUUUUACGUCCGUAUGAUUUGAAAUACUUGCACACAAAUCACGCAAAAGCGUUCCUGGAAAUCUCAGCCUAAAAAAGGACGUUUAGUAAUUCUAAAAGGGACUACAGGAUGAAAAACAAUAGUUUGGGCAGUUAAAAUUUGAGAUUCGACGGUGCCGUAGAUCCGUUUGGUCAUCAGGUGUUACGAGCGACACCCUUGUCUAGCUAGAAUAGUGUGUUAGGCUCAGACUAGAGAAGAAACGGGGAACAAAGUGAUGAAAGAAUGAUCAUACCGAGGGAAUUCACUCAGAACUAACAAGAAUGAUAACGUGCUCCGACUGGAGCGGUUUAGUAACUGCUGGAAGGCUCUAGGGGAAUGAAGAUGGAAUGACUUCUAAUUUUUAGGUCCGUAUGAUUUGAAAUACAUGCACACAAACCCUGAGAAAGCGUUCCUGGAAAUCUCGGUCGAAAAAAGGAUGUUUAAUAAUUCUAAAAGGGACUACCGGAUGAAAAACAAUAGUUUUGGCAGUUAAAGUUUGUGAUUCGAUGGUGCCGUAGAUCUGUUUGGUCAUCAGGUGUUACGAGCCACACCCAUGUCUAUCUAGAAUAGUGUGUUAGGCUCAGGCUAGAGCAGAAACGGGGAACAGACUUAUGAAAGAAUGAUCAUACCGAGGGAAUUCACUCAGAACUAACAAGAAUGAUAACGUGCUCCGACUGGCGCGGUUUAGGAACUGCUGGAAGGCUCUAGGGGAAUAAAGAUGGAAAGACUUCUAAUUUUUAGGUCCGUAUGAUUUGAAAUACUUGCACACAAACCGCACGAAAGCGUUCCUGGAAAUCUCAGCCUAAAAAGGAUGUUUAGUAAUUCUAAAAGGGACUACAAGAUGAAAAAUAAUAGUUUGGGCAGUUAAAAUUUGAGAUUCGACGAUGCCGUAGAUCCGUUUGGUCAUCAGGUGUUAUGAGCCACACCCAUGUCUAGCUAGAAUAGUGUGUUAGGCUCAGGCUAGAGAAGAAACGGGGAACAAACUGAUGAAAGAAUGAUCAUACCGAGGGAAUUCACUCAGAACUAACAAGAAUGAUAACGUGCUCCGACUGGAGCAGUUUAGAAACUGCUGGAAGGCUCUAAUGGAAUAAAGAUGGAAUGCCUUCAAAUUUCUAGGUCCGUAUGAUUUGAAAUACUUGCACACAAACCGCUCGAAAGCGUUCCUGGAAAUCUCAGCCCAAAAAAGGACGUUUAGUAAUUCUAAAAGGGACUACAGGAUGAAAAACAAUAGUUUUGGCAGUUAAAGUUUGAGAUUCGAUGGUGCCGUAGAUCCGUUUGGUCAUCAGGUGUAACGAGCCACACACAUGUCUAGCUAGAGUAGUGUGCUAGGCUCAGACUAGAGAAGAAACGGGGAACAAAGUGAUGAAAGAAUGAUCAUACCGAGGGAAUUCACUCAGAACUUACAAGAAUGAUAACGUGCUCCGACUGGAGCGCUUUAGUAACUGCUGGAAGGCUCUAGGCGAAUAAAGAUGGAAUGACUUCUAAUUUUUAGGUCCGUAUGAUUUGAAAUACUUGCACACAAACCACGCAAAACCGUUCCUAGAAAUCUCGGUCGAAAAAAGGACGUUUAGUAAUUCUAAAAGGGACUACAGGAUGAAAAACAAUAGUUUUGGCAGUUAAAGUUUGAGAUUCGAUGGUGCCGUAGAUCCGUUUGGUCAUCAGGUGUUACGAGCCACACCCAUGUCUAGCUAGAGUAGUGUGCUAGGUUCAGACUAGAGAAGAAACGGGGAACAAAGUGAUUAAAGAAUGAUCAUACCGAGGGAAUUCACUCAGAACUAACAAGAAUGAUAACGUGCUCCGACUGGAGCGGUUUAGGAACUGCUGGAAGGCUCUAGGGGAAUAAAGAUGGAAUGACUUCUAAUUUUUACGUCCGUAUGAUUUGAAAUACAUGCACACAAACCACGCAAAAGCGUUCCUGGAAAUCUCAGCCUAAAAAAGGACGUUUAGUAAUUCUAAAAGGGACUACAGGAUGAAAAAUAAUAGUUUGGGCAGUUAAAAUUUGAGAUUCGACGCUGCCGUAGAUCCGUUUGGUCAUCAGGUCUUACGAGCCACACCCAUGUCUAGCUAGAAUAGUGUGUUAGGCUCAGGCUAGAGAAGAAACGGGGAACAA
Molecule: long non-coding RNA, 5927 nt
Filed under: Triticum aestivum (bread wheat)
Lineage: Eukaryota; Viridiplantae; Streptophyta; Magnoliopsida; Poales; Poaceae
Description: long non-coding RNA (TAES_LNC019907)
Source: RNAcentral